GGAGAGAUGGGUGAGUGGCUGAAACCAACAGUUUGCUAAACUGUCGUAGGAGUACAACUUCCUACCGGGGGUUCGAAUCCCCCUCUCUCCG
Molecule: transfer RNA, 91 nt
Filed under: Bacteroidales bacterium
Lineage: Bacteria; Pseudomonadati; Bacteroidota; Bacteroidia; Bacteroidales
Description: tRNA-Ser
Rfam family: tRNA
About the family: Transfer RNA (tRNA) molecules are approximately 80 nucleotides in length. Their secondary structure includes four short double-helical elements and three loops (D, anti-codon, and T loops).
Source: RNAcentral